UCAGCCAUGUCAUUUGGCCUCUCUAGAGGCCUGUUUUCUUAUAUGAACAAUGGGAUAAUAGAGGAAGGAAGUGAGGCCCAGAGAUGAUUAGUGCCUGCCCAACUUCAUCCAGGAAAGCUUCAUGCAGGGCCAACUAAGCCUUGGAAAAUGGGCAGAAUGUGGAGAGGUAGGAAGAAGAAGAAGAAGAACACUCAUAGCACUCUUAGAAUUCCAAUACAAGUUGAAAAGAGGGAAACAUGAACAAAAGCAGAGAGGCCAGAAUGUACCUGCUAUAUACAUCUUGAAAAUGACAAAUUGAUCAGCCUGGCUGAAGCCAAGGAUUUUUUAGAUAUAUACCAUAAAGGCCUGAGUGCAGCCCAAAUGGAUACAGAAAGAUGACCUUGCUUCCUUUGCUCACCUUUUACUUCUGACUCAAAUCUAUUUGAAAUGCAAACCAGAGAGGAUCGUGGGGAUUUCUGACCAUCAGUCAGACAGUUAACUGGGAUAAAGAACACAAUUUCAGAUGCACCAUUUAGAAUAAAAGACUUAAUUUUCUCCUAAAGCACUCUAUGGAUUUUCAACUGGCUAAGAACAAAAAAGGACCAUCUUGCUUUUAUCAGAGAGAGACUUCUGAAAGUCACAAAACCCUCCCUAGAAGAUCAGAGCUAAGAUACUGGGUAUGUGGCCCUGAACAAAUGAAACGUGGAGGCUGGCAUCAGGGAGAAAUGCCCAGAAGAGACCACAAAACCAAGUGAUAACAUAGCCAGCAGAGAGCCAAGAAGCCCAGGAGAGAUCAAGACUUGGAGACCUGUAGAGACACAUGCUCGGUGAAGAAGACACAAAAAAGUGAUACCAGAUGGAGAAUAAAAGAUCUUCAAUCUGACACAUAGGGGCAGACUCGGUAAAGAGCAGGCUUAGAGAUAUCACAGCAAGGACAUCACCAGAAGAUCUCAGCAGUCCUACAGCAUCACUGUCCCUACACACAUGCUUCCUCUAUGCAUGCAUCUAAUGCUUGUUCCUUAUGCAGGCCCCCUCUUCCCACUGACAGUGUAUUUGUGUAAGCAUGUUUAUG
This is a non-coding RNA of Phascolarctos cinereus (koala), 1051 nucleotides long. Lineage: Eukaryota; Metazoa; Chordata; Mammalia; Diprotodontia; Phascolarctidae. The record is from RefSeq and is a predicted model, not a curated record.